Molecule: small nucleolar RNA, 139 nt
Organism: Phragmites australis (common reed)
Lineage: Eukaryota; Viridiplantae; Streptophyta; Magnoliopsida; Poales; Poaceae
Product: small nucleolar RNA Z247
Exons: 1
Source: RefSeq, a predicted model, not a curated record
CGGCUCGAAGACGAAGAACUCAUCGCGUACAUGCUGCGCGGUCUCGGGCCAGAGUACGAUCCACUGGUGACUAGCAUCACCACGCGCGCUGACACGUACACCAUCAGUGACGUAUACGCGCACAUGCUCAGCUACGAGA